UCUGCUCAUCAAGCCACUCUGUGGCGGCAUCCUAAGUACAAAAUAGAGGAAGAUUGGCACAGAUGUUAGCUCAGUGACAAUCUUCCUCACCCCCCUCAAAAAUAUAUAUAUAUUUGUAAAUUGAAAUUAACGUGCUAUAGACAUACAUUUAUAGGUCAAUGAUGUAACUUCUUGUUAUAACCAUAUACUGUCAAAAGAACUAUAGUGACUUAUUUUAUUAUAAUUAUAUUUUAUGCUAGAGAUUUGAAUUCUUAUUAGGUAUAACUUGUGUGGUUUUCUUUAGACAAUUCUUCAACCAUCUAAGGGUGAAGAGAAUCUUAAAGACUUCUUGCACAUAUUUUAAGGUGACUUUGGGUUAUUGCUCUGCAGCUCUUUGCUUUAAAAAAAAAGAGAAUCAGUCAUGCCCCGGCCUGAAAAUGCAUGUCAUGCAUACACCCACAGUAAAUAAAUUUUUCAAAGCUCAUUUAUGAGGUCCAGUGUCAGUUUUAAGGUAUUUUGCUUUAAAAAAAAAAAAUCAGUCAUGCCCCAGCCUGAAAAUGCAUGUCAUGCAUACACCCACAGUAAAUAAAUUUUUCAAAGCUCAUUUAUGAGGUCCAGUGUGAGUUUGAAGGUAUUUUGGUAUGUUCUCUGUAACUUUUUCUUUUUUUUUUUUAAUAGCUAUGUCCUUUUAUUAAGUUGUGUGAGAAUAGUAACAGGGCUCUUUUUUUGUUUCAUUGCCAGUUACUUUGAUCUGGCAUUCAUAUUUGGUGUCUAUUUUGAUUCUUAAGCCUGUGUCAUAAUUCCAUGGCCUCAGUUCUGAAAUGCAAACUAAGUCCAGCUUGUUUUAAGUUCUGUUAAUAAACGUUUCUUUUCAUGGCUUUUGUUUGUUUGUUGGGUAGGUAGGAAGUUGGUUUUUUACCUACUUGCUUCCUUAUUGCCCAAGUAUCUUAGAACUUAAACUCAUCUGGAGUUGUUGCCUGGCUGGCCUUGUUUAAUUAAGUGUAGAUGCCUGGGGCUUUAUGCAUGUGGCAUUAUUGCUAAAAUACUGGGCUUUGCAAAGCUUUUCUUCUGCAUAGUUAUUGUUUGAUUUUAAGUUUUUAUAUAGUUCUUGGGUGUGAAGAAUUCCUUCAAGAACGGUUUUUCUGAAGAAUAUGUUUUUAUUAAAUGCUGAUGACUUUUCUCAGUUUUCCAAUUUAGUAGGUCACCUUUAAUGUCCAUUAAAGUGAAAUAAAACUUCCAACCUUAAACAUUUUUCGUUGCUUAAAGAUUAUCUCAGUUUAAUUUGCCAUUUCUUUUUGACUAAGCAGAUAUACUGUCCAAAUGACUGGAUUGUUAAAUUAUGUUUUUUAAGACUGCUAAUUGAAGUAAGAUUACUGAUUAAGCCUAGAAGAGGGGGACCCCCCUGAACCUGGAGUAUUUUCCCCUCCUCCUUCAAAGAUGAGACUAGAUGAGUGUGUUAAUGUUUUUUUUAAACACUGAUUCUUUCCUUCGUAAUGCUUAUUUGAGUUUGCAGUUCCAUGUUUAUUCAUAUUUUAUUUGCAUGAUUAAUUUGUUAAUGUCUGUAUCCUCUUGUAGACUGAAUAUAACCUUGACUGUUUAUCUUUUGGCCAACCAUUGUAUCCCCGUUUUCUACUAUAGCACUUGGUAUAUUGGUUGGUUCUUGUAAAUAUCAAGACAUCCAGCAGUUAUUACGGGCCAGUCACUGUUCUAAGGGCUUUAAUGAAUUUGAACUUAAUCCUCAUGACAACCCUAUGAGGUAGGUUCUAUCAUUAUAUUACAGGCAAGGAAACUGAUUUGUAUCACAGGUUAAGUAACUUACUCAAAGUCAAAACUAGUGAGUUGUGGAGAAGAGAUUUCAAACUCAGGCGCCCUUGCUUUGUGUUCUGUGUUAACUGCUGUUGUAUGCUGCUUAUGUCAGUGGAAUUAAUAGGUUCCAUAAAACAUUGGCACAUAGCAUGGAAAACUUGUAACACUGUGUUUGGUCAUCAGGAACAAAUUUUUAAUUUCGUAUGUUUUGUUAGAAAAUAAAUUUAUAAAAUAUA
Molecule: long non-coding RNA, 2021 nt
Organism: Equus quagga
Lineage: Eukaryota; Metazoa; Chordata; Mammalia; Perissodactyla; Equidae
Exons: 2
Source: RefSeq, a predicted model, not a curated record